RNAcentral lists this ribosomal RNA (255 nucleotides) under uncultured bacterium. Its description in RNAcentral is "partial 16S ribosomal RNA". It matches the Rfam family "Bacterial small subunit ribosomal RNA", at positions 99 to 354 of the family's 1533-position model. The record is from RNAcentral.
CGGACGGGUGAGUAACGCGUGGAAAACCUGCCGUAUACUGGGGGAUAACACUUAGAAAUAGGUGCUAAUACCGCAUAAGCGCACAGCUUCGCAUGAAGCGGUGUGAAAAAUUCUGGUGGUAUACGAUGGUUCCGCGUCUGAUUAGCUAGUUGGUGGGGUAAUGGCCUACCAAGGCAACGAUCAGUAGCCGGCCUGAGAGGGUGAACGGCCACAUUGGGACUGAGACACGGCCCAAACUCCUACGGAAGGCAGCAG